This is a long non-coding RNA of Polypterus senegalus (gray bichir), 2118 nucleotides long. RefSeq lists it as uncharacterized. The record is from RefSeq and is a predicted model, not a curated record. NCBI's taxonomy places the organism in Eukaryota, Metazoa, Chordata, Cladistia, Polypteriformes, Polypteridae. The transcript is spliced from 2 exons.
UUGGAAACAAGUAUUCUUCUCCACUUGCAAAACACGAUAUGGAAAAUGUGGGUUUUGCCAUAUGUUUGUAAAAGUAAAUACUGUUUUCUGUAAAGCAAUUCGUUAAAUUGCAGCAGAGUAAAUAUCGUGUUCUCUCUUUCUCGGACCACAUGGCUGGGAAGAGUUGGUGCAUUGUGAGAUUGUGGAAUGAUGUUUACCUCCAUGUACAGUACCUGAUUGCUUUUUGCUCAGUAGUCUUGAGGACCAGUAGGUUCUAAAUGUGGAAGAUAACAAAUUUACUUUUUUUUUCCUCUUUUUAAACUGCACAAAGCAUUUAAUUUCAGACUCCUCAUUCUGGAUAGAGAGGAGGCAGUCUAAUACAAAUGGAUAACUGCCUUUAAAUUUUAAUAAUUUGUUAAUUUUUAAUCAUACAUUAUGGAGUUUUGGGCGAUCUGACUGAGUGUGAUAUAGUGGGUCCGCGGCUGUAAACUGAUGGCCACUUUUUAAAUCGCCGCACUUGCGGCUUUAAGCAGGGGGCGUGGUAGGGUGGCAGAAGCUGUUCCCAGGCGCAAUGUGGGAGUUUCCGUACUGAAGUGCACAGGUGUGGGAUUGCCGAGAAGGCUAUUGCUGCAGACCGGAGACAUUAUGGGCGGAUCUAAAGGCAGGAUAACUGAAUCAAAUUCGACUGUUCGAUGUUUGUACCGUGAACCUUUACGUUUGUAUUAAUAAUUUUCGCUGUAGUAAUUGAUGUAUAUUUAGUGAUUGAAGUGGGCCGGCAAUCUGCGGUACCGGCAGCUCUUCAAAUUACACAAGGCAAGUUUCACGAGAACUCCUCGACUGUGCAUGGAAGACAAAAACUUUUACAAGCAUCUUGGACACGCUUGAUUAGUUAUUCUGUCGUGAAGCAAGCUUUUGAUAAAGUUCAGAUUGACUCGAAUGGUGCACGAUCUUACCUUUUUUUCUUUUCAGUUUAAUUUCAUAUGUUGGAGUUCUUGGAGCAAUGUGCCUAAAUUGUAAUACCAAAUCUGCCAUGUUUUGGUAUUUUCAAUUUUAAUCAAAUUUCAUGGUAGUUUUGUGCAGAUGAUGCCUGCCGUUUCUAAACUGUUAAAAUACUUUCCUGCAAUGGGGAGUGUACCACUUAAAAUACGUGAGUCAGACUGACAGUCGCGAUGUUCACAGAGCCUUUUCAAUUUAAUUACAAGUGACAUAUUUUUCCUUUCAGCCAACUUGCUACAAGAAUAUCUUCUGGAAAUUGGAUGUUAAUGUAAAAUAAGGUACAUUGCAAACAACUAUUUCUUAAACUUGUAGUGUUUUGACUUUCACGUGUAUCGUCCCAACAAGGGGCUUGGGUUUUUUUUGGCUGCAGAGAUCAGCAGGCCCUCCAGGAGAACUCAACAUGAAAAACUGUUGGAGUUCAUCAUAAAGGGCCAUGGAGCAGAUGAUCACUUGCUGGUACUUAGUUCAAAUAACAAGUAAACUUUGUUAUUGUAAUCUAUCUACUAGCAAAGAGCUAUGAUGACUAUAGCACCAAACUCUUGUAUUUGCUUGUCCAACAGGCUGUUGUAUCUGAAAAGGUGUCAUCCAAAUGGUUUAAAAAUUAAGAAGAUCCUAAAGGUCACCAGGUAAUGAACUCUAUACAGUAGAAGACGAAGAGCUGACAGAUGGCCUCUACAACUGCCUGAUGAAGUGCUGUAGGCACUUUUGAAAAGAUCAACAAAGUGUUGAUGCCAGAGGCCAAUUUGGCUUCAGUGAAUCUGUAAUGAGUACAGAAAGUGUUUCUGAGUAACCUUCUCUCUUUCUGUGUUUGGGAUUGGCUCUUAUUAAAGCUCGAGGAACAGUUGAGAGGAUUUCUCUACCAGAGGCAAAAGGUCUGCUCAUUGAUGGACUAGCAAACAUGAGAGAGAAGAGUUUGACAAACCUGUGCUUCCAACUGUUACAGUACAAAGACAGACAGCAUCACUGAGGCAUUUAAACUUGGGAUUCCAUCUCAACCCCUCCUCUAAUAAACAUGUCACUUUAUUUAUCUGUCUUUUGCCUUUUUAUUUCUGACUGUUAAACUGACUGUGCAUAAUAAUAAAGUUGUAUAUAUUUGAUUUAACUAUUGAUGCAAAUAAUAAAGGACACUUUGUUAUUGUUAAA